Oncorhynchus masou masou (cherry salmon) is the source of this 695-nucleotide long non-coding RNA. RefSeq lists it as uncharacterized. Lineage: Eukaryota; Metazoa; Chordata; Actinopteri; Salmoniformes; Salmonidae. The record is from RefSeq and is a predicted model, not a curated record. The transcript is spliced from 5 exons.
CCCCACCAGAUGUGGUGGAAGUUGUCAAACCAGAUCAGAACGCCUUCGAGGACCACCUUCAGGCACGGACUGAGAAGGAUGUAGAGGUUUUCGACCAGGUGAGACUGAACAUCGACAAGGCACAGGAGAAACAGCAGGAAAGCUAUGGGAGCAAAAUCAAGAAUGGAACCAUGUGCUACGACAUCCGGGCGAAUUACUUGGUUUGGAAGAAGGACAAAAGGAAGGCGAGACCUGGGAAAACUCGCUGCUCUUCGCUCCUAGCUGGGGUCACCAUCUAUUAAGGGUGGAAGCCACACUCUUCUCCAGUUGGAGCAGUUGGACGGUCGACCACUGAAAGCACUGACGCCCUACACUUCGGUGAAGCCCAAUAGACAAAGUAUUUUAAGCUUUGUGUAAUGGCUUUCGUCGUCGGAUGAGGAAGAGUAGUCGGACCAAAGCGCAGCGUGGACCAUCGACUGUUCAAGCCCCCAGUAGGUAUCCCAUCCACCAGAACCAGUGAGUUUGUGAUUCUCUGUGCUCUGACUCGGAGGGGGACCAGCUUAAGGGGUUCUGUCCAACACCCAGACGUGGAUCCUCCUGAUGUCCUUCAAUACCAGCCACCCUCCAUCUUUUCAUUACAUCAUCUACAACUACUGUUAUUAACUAAAAACACUAGCACUGCCAACCCUCAGAAAAAAGAGUGCAGCAGUGCCUUG